This 593-nucleotide long non-coding RNA is filed under the name Homo sapiens (human). RNAcentral describes it as "HSALNT0077216". Lineage: Eukaryota; Metazoa; Chordata; Mammalia; Primates; Hominidae. The record is from RNAcentral.
CAUCUCUACUUUGGUUAGAGAUGAUAUUUUAAAACAUGAUAUUUCUUCUUUUCCUUCCCAGGCCAAGUCCUUUAACCUCAUGACCAUCCCAUUUCUGAACCCAUACAUUUUCCAGGAACUCUCAGUUUUUCACUGAGAACAGCAAGUGUGGCAAGAAUAAAGAGCACAACAGUUGCCGUGAAGGCCAUCCCCACCACGUGGGUGUUUCCUGAGUGAGAUGACUUGCACACACAGUGCCAAAGCUCUAGAGAGAAAAGGAAAAGAAGCAACUUACUAAAAAUAUUCCCAAGGCAAAGACAAGGAACUGUGCCUCCACUCCUUCCUUUAGCUUGUAAGUUGCUUUGGGGCCCUGGGUUGCGAUUCUUAACCCACAGUGGAUGUUAAAUAAAUAUUUGAUGGUGUUGAGGGCUUAAGUAAUGGUUUAUGUAAACAUCAAGAGCUGCUGCUCAGAACAUAUUCUCAUGGCACAAUACUAAAUUGACCAGAGAGAUUUCACUGUGGUGUGCCUCAGACUGUAGAAUAUAAGGAAGUCUCAUUAACUUGUCAAGUUGACAGAGUUUGGGAAUUUGUUUUGUUGUUGCAAACCCACUGUU